AGGCUCUAACCAAACAUGUAACAGGUUGUCAGCAGCUGGUCAAGGAGCCAGUUGAUGUGGUUCGGGUAUCUGAUCAGGAUGCCUCCUGUGCGCCCCCCUUUGGAGUUUUUUGGACACGCCCAACUGGAAGAACACGCUGGGGAGAUUACAUACCUCAUCUGGCUCCCCGAGGAGGAGACAGAAGACGUUUGGUAGAGGGACGUCACAUGACUACCUUGCUUAGCCUGUUGCCACCACGACCUGGCUCUGGAUAAGCAGUGGAAAAUGAAUGGAUCUAUGGAUGAAUCGUCAACCGACUACAGUUUUUCUUUGGACCGAUUUCAAAAAUAAAACAUAAAUGAGAAUGACUA
This is a long non-coding RNA of Micropterus salmoides (largemouth bass), 350 nucleotides long. RefSeq lists it as uncharacterized. The transcript has 2 exons. The record is from RefSeq and is a predicted model, not a curated record. NCBI's taxonomy places the organism in Eukaryota, Metazoa, Chordata, Actinopteri, Centrarchiformes, Centrarchidae.